AGGAACAGUCUGUUUCCUGACAGAAGCGGUGACUGAAAUGAAAUGCCAUGUAUUCAGGUGACCUUGUCUUGCAGAUAUGCUGACAGUGAUGUACUCCUUCUGUAUCUGAAACUGAAAGGAAGAAAAUCUCAACUUCACGAUUGCACUGGAGUUAGUUAUGUCACUGCAGAACCCUUGACACGUGGAGAUGAAAUAGUGAGUGCUGCUAUAAAAAAAUAAUUGUAUCUUCCAAGCACCCUUUCCUUUUAGAGGUAGCUUCCAUUUGGCCUUAAGUAGAACGUGCCUCACAUGUUUGCCUAGCUGUAUAUUUGUUUUCCAUCAGAGAUGUUGGGGUAUACUUUAG
RNAcentral lists this long non-coding RNA (343 nucleotides) under Gallus gallus (chicken). Its description in RNAcentral is "lncRNA (ENSGALG00010010112.1)". The record is from RNAcentral. Lineage: Eukaryota; Metazoa; Chordata; Aves; Galliformes; Phasianidae.